AACGGGGGGGGCAAGCGUUAAUCGGAAUUACUGGGCGUAAAGCGUGCGCAGGCGGUGAUGUAAGACAGUUGUGAAAUCCCCGGGCUCAACCUGGGAACUGCAUCUGUGACUGCAUUGCUGGAGUGCGGCAGAGGGGGAUGGAAUUCCGCGUGUAGCAGUGAAAUGCGUAGAUAUGCGGAGGAACACCGAUGGCGAAGGCAAUCCCCUGGGCCUGCACUGACGCUCAUGCACGAAAGCGUGGGGAGCAAACAGG
RNAcentral lists this ribosomal RNA (253 nucleotides) under uncultured bacterium. Its description in RNAcentral is "partial 16S ribosomal RNA". It matches the Rfam family "Bacterial small subunit ribosomal RNA", at positions 524 to 776 of the family's 1533-position model. The record is from RNAcentral.